AAUUCUUGUUUCUCGUGCGGCGCCAUGACUAUAACCGUGUUACUUGCCUUAUUCGCUACAUACGAUAUGGUAGGUGUCAAGUCACUGGCUAGAGAAACUAGGCCAUCUUAGUGCUCUUUCGAUGAUUUGUUAAAGAUACAUUAGAAGAAAUUUUAGUGGAUCACCAGGAAUCAUCGAGGGCCGGUAGGUCAAACAUUC
This is a small nucleolar RNA of 198 nucleotides. It matches the Rfam family "Small nucleolar RNA snR35". The record is from Rfam.